CCUCCAUCCAUCAAAGCUGGUGGUCUUUAGGAAACAUUAACCUGCUUUAACCUGCUGAGCUAAAGUGGCCUGGAUCAGGUUUCAUCUCUUCACACUGUGAUGUCAGCACACGGUGUGGAUCUGAGCUUCUCAAACGGCAGCGUGGCUCGUGUCCAGUUAUCGACCUUAUAUUGACCUCUAAUGCACCUGAGUCCUCUAUACUGAGACUGGAUGAGCGAUCCGAGAUAUCUCAUCCACCUCUACAGGGUCAGCCAAACUCUCAAAGCUGUCUGCAAUCAUUUCAUUUCCUUUGACGCCAAAACGCCGCCAUUACUGAUAGCGAGAGACGACAAAAUGACAACAUCUUUCAGGCGUCGUUGCUCUGGAGUUGCUAUGUGACCAAAUCUUCACAGCCUGGCAACGUGAGUCCCCGAGUCCCCGUCCAACUCUGGAAGUGUAAGGUGAGU
Molecule: long non-coding RNA, 446 nt
Organism: Labeo rohita (rohu)
Lineage: Eukaryota; Metazoa; Chordata; Actinopteri; Cypriniformes; Cyprinidae
Exons: 3
Source: RefSeq, a predicted model, not a curated record